Molecule: ribosomal RNA, 631 nt
Filed under: uncultured bacterium
Lineage: Bacteria
Description: bacterial SSU rRNA
Rfam family: Bacterial small subunit ribosomal RNA
Source: RNAcentral
GAAGGUGCUGAGCGGCGGACGGGUGAGUAACGCGUGGGUACCUGCCUCAUACAGGGGGAUAACAGUUAGAAAUGACUGCUAAUACCGCAUAAGACCGCAUGGUAAAAACUCCGGUGGUAUGAGAUGGACCCGCGUCUGAUUAGCUAGUUGGUAAGGUAACGGCUUACCAAGACGACGAUCAGUAGCCGACCUGAGAGGGUGACCGGCCACAUUGGGACUGAGACACGGCCCAAACUCCUACGGGAGGCAGCAGUGGGGAAUAUUGCACAAUGGGGGAAACCCUGAUGCAGCGACGCCGCGUGAGCGAAGAAGUAUUUCGGUAUGUAAAGCUCUAUCAGCAGGGAAGAAAAUGACGGUACCUGACUAAGAAGCACCGGCUAAAUACGUGCCAGCAGCCGCGGUAAUACGUAUGGUGCAAGCGUUAUCCGGAUUUACUGGGUGUAAAGGGAGCGUAGACGGAUGGGCAAGUCUGAUGUGAAAACCCGGGGCUCAACCCCGGGACUGCAUUGGAAACUGUUCAUCUAGAGUGCUGGAGAGGUAAGUGGAAUUCCUAGUGUAGCGGUGAAAUGCGUAGAUAUUAGGAGGAACACCAGUGGCGAAGGCGGCUUACUGGACAGUAACUGACGUUGAG